RNAcentral lists this ribosomal RNA (378 nucleotides) under uncultured bacterium. RNAcentral describes it as "bacterial SSU rRNA". It matches the Rfam family "Bacterial small subunit ribosomal RNA", at positions 521 to 896 of the family's 1533-position model. The record is from RNAcentral.
UGAUACGUAGGGUGCGAGCGUUGUCCGGAAUUAUUGGGCGUAAAGAGCUUGUAGGCGGUUGGUCGCGUCGGAAGUGAAAUCUCAGGGCUUAACUCUGAGUCUGCUUCCGAUACGGGCUGACUAGAGGAAGUUAGGGGAGAACGGAAUUCCUGGUGGAGCGGUGGAAUGCGCAGAUAUCAGGAGGAACACCGGUGGCGAAGGCGGUUCUCUGGGACUUUCCUGACGCUGAGAAGCGAAAGCGUGGGGAGCAAACAGGCUUAGAUACCCUGGUAGUCCACGCCGUAAACGGUGGGCACUAGGUGUGGGGGACAUUCCACGUUCUCCGUGCCGUAGCUAACGCAUUAAGUGCCCCGCCUGGGGAGUACGGCCGCAAGGCUA